GAUGAACGCUGGCGGCGUGCCUAAUACAUGCCAGUCGAGCGAACGGACGAGAAGCUUGCUUCUCUGAUGUUAGCGGCGGACGGGUGAGUAACACGUGGAUAACCUACCUAUAAGACUGGGAUAACUUCUGGAAACCGUAGCUAAUACCGGAUAAUAUAUUGAACCGCAUGGUUCAAUAGUGAAAGACGGUCUUGCUGUCACUUAUAGAUGGAUCCGCGCCGCAUUAGCUAGUUGGUAAGGUAAGGACUUACCAAGGCAACGAUGCAUAGCCGACCUGCGAGGUUGACCGGCCACACUGGAACUGAGACACGGUCCAGACUCCUACUGGAAGCAGCAGUAGGGAAUCUUCCGCGAUGGGCGAAAGCCUGACGGAGCAACGCCGCGUGAGUGAUGAAGGUCUUCGGAUCGUAAAACUCUGUUAUUAGGGAAGAUCAAAUGUGUAAGUAACUGUGCACGUCUUGACGGUACCUAAGCAGAAAGCCACGGCUAACUACGUG
RNAcentral lists this ribosomal RNA (497 nucleotides) under uncultured bacterium. RNAcentral describes it as "partial 16S ribosomal RNA". It matches the Rfam family "Bacterial small subunit ribosomal RNA", at positions 28 to 507 of the family's 1533-position model. The record is from RNAcentral.